CGUAAAGCAAAAUGGUAUUGCAAUUAACUGUCACUUAAUGUUUGUGGGUUCGAUCCCCACUGCG
This is a non-coding RNA of Strongylocentrotus purpuratus (purple sea urchin), 64 nucleotides long. The record is from Rfam. NCBI's taxonomy places the organism in Eukaryota, Metazoa, Echinodermata, Echinoidea, Camarodonta, Strongylocentrotidae.